Oncorhynchus mykiss (rainbow trout) is the source of this 1982-nucleotide long non-coding RNA. The record is from Ensembl. Lineage: Eukaryota; Metazoa; Chordata; Actinopteri; Salmoniformes; Salmonidae.
AUGCUCCGCCCCUGCUUAAUCAUUGCGUGCAUCACUGUGAAUAGUACAACCCUUAAUCGUAAUUUCAACAGCAGAACAGAGACGAUUGAAAACAAUCUGAGAGCUGAAGUGUUUUACAAACAGCUACAGGAGACUAAUAACAAGUCUCUAAAGUGGAGUCUCUAUGCUUAGAAAACUGCACCUACAUCCCAGAACUUCAGAGAGCAGUGUUGAGAAGACUUGACUCUCAAUUGGUGCUAAUAAGGAGAACGAUCCUUAGAUCAGAUGAACCAAUACUCCCUGAAGUGCCACCACCAACAAUGGCUGAGCUGCUACAACUUUGAGGAGAUGUCACCACGCAACACAGGAUGCAGUUAGCACACCUUUGAGCGGAGAAGGAGCUUUCCCUUAUGUCAGACUUGGUGGUUCCCGGGAAAGUGUGAAAACCUACAGAGUACUCAGAAAUGCUGUUGAAAGAGGGUCGAGUACAACCAAACAUAAACAUGUGGGAAACAAUAUUUGUGCAAUCUUUGUCUAGCAUAUAGGCAUCAUUAUUGUAAUUUUGAAAUGGUUUUAGAAUGAUUUACUAAACUGUUCUCUUUUCCUGGAUAUCUAUGCUCAUAUGCACCCUCCUGUAGCAGACCUACAGGAGGGUACAUAUCCAGAAAGACGGAUGGACUACCCUGGUGGAAAUACAGUUCAAAUUACACAGAUGAGGUCAAAUAAAGUUGUAUUAGGGAGAUAAACAACAAUACAAGGUAGUCUCUGUAACCUUCUCAAAAUAACAAAAGCACAGUGUAAAGAAAACAUUCUGAUAAAGUACUGAACUGAUAUCACCCAGACCGAGGAAGAAAUCGCAAAAUAACUACUUCAAAUAAAAUGGUACUUGUCACAUGCUUCGUAAACAAAAGAUGUAGACUAACAGUGAAAUGCCUACUUACGGGCCAUUCCCAACCAUGCAGAGAAAAAAUAGAUAUAAUAGAAAAAUAAUAUGAGUGGAUAACAACUACCUUACUGUGAUUGUUUGCAAUUAAAAUGGUUAGAAAAAGACACAAAAAUAGCUUCUUAGCAAAAAUAAAUUUCUCAAGCAAGAAUUUUGCUAGGAUUGUCUGGGAGUGGUCUGAGUGGAGAGGGGAAAACAGAAAACUAGCUGUUAUUGGCAGAGAGGUUUGGAGCAUACUUUCUUAUUGGUCUAACUAAUUUACCACAUAGGGACAUCACCAGACAGGUCAAAACCCCAUCCCACCAAAACAGGUUGAAAUUUCAGGCGGUCAUUUCAAACAGCUCUAACACUAAAAGGGCAUUAUCAUAAUUUUCACAGUACUAAUCCAACCUCAUAGUGUGGAAAUAUAUAGAAAACCCAGGAAAACACAUUUUUGGCUGCACAGGACCUUUAACAAAGAUGAUGCUAAAUUUAGGUCAUAAUUCUGCCAAAUUACCCAGAUUGGCUACACAUACAGUAACUAUACUGAACAAAAAUAUGAGUUACAGUUCAUACAAGGAAAUCAGUCAACUGAAAUACAUCCAUUAGGCCCUAAUCUAUGGAUUUCAAAUGACUUGGAAUACAGAUAUGCAUCUGUUGAUCACAGAUACCUUAAAAAAAAGAAUAAUGGUGUGGAUCAGAAAACCAGUCAGUAUCUGGUGUGACCACCAUUUACCUCAUGCAGCGUGACACAUCUUCUUCGCAUAAAGUUGAUCAGGCUGUUGAUUGUGGCCUGUGGAAUGUUGUCCUACUCCUCUUAAUGGCUGUGUGAAGUUACUGGAUAUUGGCGGGAACUGGAACACGAUGUCGUACACGUCGAUCCAGAGCAUCCCAAACAUGCUCAAUGGGUGACAUGUCUAGUGAGUAUGCAGGCCAUGGAAGAACUGGGACAUUUUCAGCUUCCUGGAAUUGUAUACAGAUCCUUGCAUUAUCAUGCUGAAACAUGAGGUGAUGGCGGCAGAUGAAUGUCACGACAAUGGGCCUCAGGAUCACGUCACGGUAUCUCUGUGCAGUCAAAUUG